This 434-nucleotide long non-coding RNA is filed under the name Pongo abelii (Sumatran orangutan). RNAcentral's name for it is "lincRNA". Lineage: Eukaryota; Metazoa; Chordata; Mammalia; Primates; Hominidae. The record is from RNAcentral.
CCCCAAAGCUAGAGAAUUCCUGCUCUGAGCCAUCUCUGAAAGCACCAAGAGCCAGGAGAUGCCAGCUCACGGAGGAAAAUCUGGAAGGUGUUGAAGCAUAGACGCUGGAACAUAAAAUGACUCAUGAUCUCACUGGGAGAAGGGCUGGGAACAUCGUGGGCUCUCUUCUCCCCGCGCUCCUGUCUCCGGGUCUCUGUUUCCCUCAUUCGAACCAUCGGCGCAGUACAUCAGGCUAGAAGCCUGGGGUCACCCCACCAUCCCGCCACAAGCCCCUCCGAGGCAUCGCUGUGUCCAGGUUUUGCAAACUCCACCUCCUGAAGGGGCUGGGGUCUGUCCACUUCGCCCCGUCUGCCGUGGCAGCACUUCCUUCGUGGUUCGCAGCCUCACAGCAGCCUCCUAGGAAGGCACCUCCCUGGGGCCCCUCUCAGUCCGCG